CGAUAUUUAUACACUACAAAGCAUAACAUAUAUGUUUAUUAUGAUGCUUGAUAGAUAGUUGAAACGUUAUUCCACACAGUACACGUUGUUUUCUUUUUUUUUAAGCUGCAAGCCCUAUGGUCUAUUUUAGAUUAUUUCGUUGUUGUGAAUUUACAGUACUAUAUCCUUUCGAUAUAGAUUUUUGUUUCAUCUGGAUUAAGUGCCGAUACAUUAGAAGGCAUCUUUAACAGACCCAUUCCGCGAAGGGAUUUAAAUUAUUAUAUAUGCGUCGGGAAACCAUACGUCGAGUCUUAUCUGCAAAAUGUUACGUGGAAUUU
This 317-nucleotide long non-coding RNA is filed under the name Mytilus galloprovincialis (Mediterranean mussel). The record is from RNAcentral. Lineage: Eukaryota; Metazoa; Mollusca; Bivalvia; Mytilida; Mytilidae.